AGGGAAGCGAGCCUGCGAGGGGGAGCGAAUCCCAAAAAUAACGUCCCAGUUCGGAUUGUAGUCUGCAACCCGACUACAUGAAGCUGGAAUCGCUAGUAAUCGCGGAUCAGAAUGCCGCGGUGAAUACGUUCCCGGGCCUUGUACACACCGCCCGUCACACCAUGAGAGUUGGGAAUACCCGAAGCCUGUGAGCUAACGUUAAGAGGCAGCAGUCGAAGGUAGAAUCAAUGAUUGGGGUGAAGUCGUAACAAGGUACC
RNAcentral lists this ribosomal RNA (257 nucleotides) under uncultured bacterium. RNAcentral's name for it is "partial 16S ribosomal RNA". It matches the Rfam family "Bacterial small subunit ribosomal RNA", at positions 1243 to 1500 of the family's 1533-position model. The record is from RNAcentral.